Phlebotomus argentipes is the source of this 2521-nucleotide RNA transcript. RefSeq lists it as uncharacterized. The record is from RefSeq and is a predicted model, not a curated record. Lineage: Eukaryota; Metazoa; Arthropoda; Insecta; Diptera; Psychodidae. The transcript is spliced from 6 exons.
UGUUUGGGAUUUUGCGUGCGCGGGAAAACUCUCGAUCUCGCUCGUCGCCGUUCAGGCCGUUUGUUUGGUUUAGUGCGGCGUCGACAGCGUGCUUGACUGGAAGUCAACUCUGUGAGUGCCUUGUAAAGUGUGUUUUGGGAAUCGCAGGUAAUUUGGUAUCGACAGUUCCGUCCUGUGACGUGGCUUUUGUACUCGUUGUGCUCCAUUCAUCGCAUUGCUUGUGACCUUCCAUCCGCAUCAUCAUUGAAGCGUCUUUUUUGCGCGCGCGUUCUUGCUGCCAUUUGGCGCCCACAAGUUGCUCUCAUCGCAUUUUGUCCAUCUCCAGAGCCGCACAACAUGACUCACGACGCGCGUCCAGAGUCGCGGAAUUUCAGGGCACGCCCUAGAAGAAAUCCCUCUUUCGCCAGCAAUUCCAUGGAUUCACGAGGAAGCAAAAAGACACACUGGCAAACCGGUUUGUGUCGUCGCGAGAAUAUCAAUUUGAGAGUCUUUUGAGCCUUUUGAGUGUGUGUUCCAAUGAAAGGAAAAACCAAUCGAGAGAGAAGUUGAGGCAUUUUUCCCGCACGCGGAAUUGCGUUGAAAUCCAUUUCAAUUCACACGAGACACAAUUAGACAUCGAUUUUUACACUCCUUCGCGUGAUAUUGAAGACGCAGCGCGCGGAUUGAUUGUCUGCUCGAGACGACACGUGAAAUUUGAUCUCUGAUUUUUCGCAAGACAAAAGUGUGGAAAAAUGCCGCUGCUGAACUUUUGCUGCUGCUGCUGCAGUCUGCGCACGGGAGGCGUGAUCCUGGGCGCUCUGGGCAUCAUCCGGUCGCUCUUGGGCAUCGCCAUCUCGGCCCUGGUCCUCAUCUCUCUCGACCAGGUCAUCAGCAUGAGCAAGGAGGAGGGCAAGACACUGAUCGACGAGAAGAGGAAUGAGUUUGGCAAUAAUUUCACUCUCACGUCUGAUGACUUUAACGACACUGCCGACAUUAUGCAUCUGGUGUUCAAGAUCAUCCUCGGCAUCUUCCUGGUUGUAUGCAUCGUGGACUUAGUCUGUGCCGUUCUCCUGAUUAUCGCCAGCAAGAAGGACCGUAAAGAGUUCGUCUUGCCUUACUUGAUCACUGACGGCAUUGGAAUCAUUCUUACCACACUUUUCUUCGUGCUGUCAGCUUUCAAUAGCCAGAAUCCUGUCCAAGGAAUUCUCUCGGCGCUCAUCAGUUUCGGAAUCGCUGGUUACUUGUGGCUCUGCGUCCUUUCUCUUUAUCAGUUGCUGAAGGAGCAGGAGCGCCCGCCGGCCGUGAUCCGCACCGCCUAUCCAGAGCAGCAGGCAGUUUACUCGUCAAUGGCCUAGGCGAGCCUCAGCUGCACAGCCUCGAAACAUUAACCAUUAGUACUUAAGAAGAACAAUGCUUGAUGAUAUUAUUUUGCAGUUCUAAUUGCACUUUGUAUGCUUUAAUCCCAGUGAGAUUAAGUUUUUAUUUUGGUGAUUUUCUGUUCUCAAUUAUAUAUUUUUUUAAUGUCUACACAGAUUGUAGAACUGUAUUGUGGAGUUCCAGUGGAAAUACAGUUGAUGAGCUACAGUGUGACGCACAUUUAUAUCUUGUCUGAUGUAUUGUGACAUGUUAAGGUCAUAUUACAGAGAUAUUUAUUUAACCGAUCUUGCAGAAUGUUCCAUUCGGCAAGAAUUAUCUCUCACUCUCCACUAUUUCCAGUUGUCGGGCAACUUAUGGUGUUUACAAUUCAUUGCGAUAAUGGAAGUGCGAUCAAUGCGAUGGAGAUUUGUGGGGAAAUUGAUGACAAUACAUAUAAAUAAACUAAUUCUCUGCUUGAUUUUUCCAGGAAAAAAGAACCCCCCAAUAAAUCAUGGCGGUGAUGCGAAAAUGUUGCUUCUGCUGGAACUUGAGAAUCGGCGGCAUGGUUCUGGGCGUCUUCUCUGCCCUCUUCUCGCUGGCCACCAUCGCCUACUGCAUCUGGAUGAUUGUCGAGAUGGAGAUCCAGAACUGGCGUGGACGUCCAGUGGUGCAGAAUUACUAUCAGAAGCGACUGGAGGACGAGAUCAUCCUGUUCCGCCUCAUUUCUGAGAUCCUCCUCGGCAUCGGGAUCUUCGUCUACAUCGCAAUCUUCAUCUCCAGCAUCUGUCUCGUCGCGGGAGCAAAGAAAGAGAAACGAGGCCGAAUUCUGCCCUACUUGAUCUUCCAGUGGCUGGGCAUCAUCGGAACUGCCCUCUACUGCUUCUUCCACGGCUCCACGGCCGUCAAGGAGAACCGCGAGACCCAGGGAACAGUAGUAAUCGUCGUUGGGUGUGUUUACAUUGUUCUCGCCUUCUACUUCUGGUUUUGCGUGCUGGCGCUCUACCAAACCAUCCGGGACAAUCAGAGGCACAACCCACGUGUGCAAAGCCAGCCCGACAGACACGCUGCCUAUUCUCCCGUUCAGUAAUCUUAAGUGCAUUUCUGCAGUAUUCAUUCGCAUAUUUAGCCAGUAGAGUACAAAAUUUGUAAGAAAUUGACAAAAUAAUCACUUUCCACUAUGUCUUAA